This 245-nucleotide ribosomal RNA is filed under the name uncultured bacterium. RNAcentral's name for it is "partial 16S ribosomal RNA". It matches the Rfam family "Bacterial small subunit ribosomal RNA", at positions 524 to 768 of the family's 1533-position model. The record is from RNAcentral.
UACAGAGGGUGCAAGCGUUAUUCGGAAUUACUAGGUGUAAAGGGCGCGUAGGUGGUUUGGUAAGUUAGCUGUGAAAUUCUAUGGCUCAACCGUGGAACUGCAGCUAAUACUGCCGGACUUGAGUAUCGGAGGGGAAAGCGGAAUUCCUGGUGUAGCGGUGAAAUGUGUAGAUAUCAGGAGGAAUACCGAGGGCGAAAGCGGCUUUCUGGACGAAUACUGACACUGAGGCGCGAAAGCUAGGGGAG